GUGCUCUCACUUCGUCAGCACAUAUACUACAAUUGGAAUGAUACAGAGAAGAUUAGCAUGGCCUCUGAACAAGGAUGACAUGCAAAUUCAUGAAGCAGUCCAUAGUAAA
This is a small nuclear RNA of Nomascus leucogenys (northern white-cheeked gibbon), 109 nucleotides long. The record is from Ensembl. NCBI's taxonomy places the organism in Eukaryota, Metazoa, Chordata, Mammalia, Primates, Hylobatidae.